GACGAACGCUGGCGGCGUGCCUAACACAUGCAAGUCGAACGGAAAGGCCCUGCUCUUGCGGGUUUCUCGAUUGGCGAGCGGGUGAGUAACACGUGAGUAACCUGCCCUUAUCUUUGUGAUAACUUCAGGAAACUCGGGCUAAUACCGGAUAGAAUCUCUUGCAGCAUGGUGGUGGUUGGUAAAUUUCGGCUGUGGGGGCUGUACUCGCUGCUUAUCAGCUUGUUGGUUGGGUAGUGGCUGACCAAGGCUUUGACGGAUAGGCUGCAUGAGAGGGUGACCGGCGUCAUUGGGCCUAAGAUACGGCGCAGACUCCUACGGUAGGCAGCGGUGGGGAGUCUUGCACAAUGGGGCGAAGCCUGAUGCGGCAACGCCGCGUGCGGGAUGACCGCUUUCUGGUUGUAAACCGCUUUCGCAUGUGCCGAGGCGUGAGUGACGGUAAUGGGUCAAGAAGCAACGGCUAACUACGUG
Molecule: ribosomal RNA, 468 nt
Filed under: uncultured bacterium
Lineage: Bacteria
Description: partial 16S ribosomal RNA
Rfam family: Bacterial small subunit ribosomal RNA
Source: RNAcentral